AAGUCGUAACAAGGUUUCCGUAGGUGAACCUGCGGAAGGAUCAUUAAUACGCUUUUGUUUGUAACAAAACAAAACGUUUUAAACUCCAAAAGAAAUAGUGGAAAUAUAACUUCCGGAUGCGAAUGUUGGGGAACUGAGUAAAAUUGGUUCUUUGAAAAAGGGACUUCAAGUAAAAUUGACACUUCAGAGUAGAGCAGUGAGGUGAAACCUUCGUUUUCGAGCGAGAGUUUUGGUUCUGAAAAACAUUUGUAUCCGGUUAUCAUAAUCUGUUCUACAAACUCCAAAAUAUCAAACAAUAAACCCCAUGUACAACAACUUGAACUAAACAUUUUUUUGUUGUCUGCUCGCACUCGUGUGAGAAGGUGAAACAAAGAAAAACCCUGAACUUAAGAACAACUCUUAACAACGGAUAUCUUGGUUCUC
RNAcentral lists this unclassified non-coding RNA (423 nucleotides) under fungal sp. RNAcentral describes it as "partial internal transcribed spacer region". The stretch from base 1 to 46 matches the Rfam family "Eukaryotic small subunit ribosomal RNA", at positions 1786 to 1831 of the family's 1831-position model. The record is from RNAcentral. Lineage: Eukaryota; Fungi.